Molecule: ribosomal RNA, 378 nt
Filed under: marine Metazoa environmental sample
Lineage: Eukaryota; Metazoa
Description: SSU rRNA
Rfam family: Eukaryotic small subunit ribosomal RNA
Source: RNAcentral
AGCUCCAAUAGCGUAUAUUAAAGUUGUUGCAGUUAAAAAGCUCGUAGUUGGAUUUCGGGGUGGCCUGGCUGGUCCACCGCAAGGUGAGUACUGGUCAGCCGCCCUUCCUCUCGAAAGCCCCGACUGCUCUUCACUGUAGUGGUCGGGUAGUUCGGGACGUUUACUUUGAAAAAAUUAGAGUGUUCAAGGCAGGCUAUCGCCUGAAUACAUUAGCAUGGAAUAAUGGAAGAGGACCUCGGUCCUAUUUUGUUGGUUUCUAGGGCCGAAGUAAUGAUUAAGAGGGACAGUUGGGGGCAUUCGUAUUUAAUUGUCAGAGGUGAAAUUCUUGGAUUUAUGAAAGACGAACUAGUGCGAAAGCAUUUGCCAAGGAUGUUUUCA